RNAcentral lists this ribosomal RNA (479 nucleotides) under uncultured bacterium. RNAcentral describes it as "partial 16S ribosomal RNA". It matches the Rfam family "Bacterial small subunit ribosomal RNA", at positions 28 to 507 of the family's 1533-position model. The record is from RNAcentral.
GAUGAACGCUAGCGGGAGGCCUAACACAUGCAAGCCGAGCGGUAUUUGUCCUUCGGGACAGAGAGAGCGGCGUACGGGUGCGGAACACGUGUGCAACCUGCCUUUAUCUGGGGGAUAGCCUUUCGAAAGGAAGAUUAAUACCCCAUAAUAUAUCGAAUGGCAUCCUUCGAUAUUGAAAACUCCGGUGGAUAGAGAUGGGCACGCGCAAGAUUAGAUAGUUGGUGAGGUAACGGCUCACCAAGUCAGUGAUCUUUAGGGGGCCUGAGAGGGUGAUCCCCCAGACUGGUACUGAGACACGGACCAGACUCCUACGGGAGGCAGCAGUGAGGAAUAUUGGACAAUGGGUGAGAGCCUGAUCCAGCCAUCCCGCGUGAAGGACUAAGGCCCUAUGGGUUGUAAACUUCUUUUAUACUGGGAUAAACCUACUUACGUGUAAGUAGCUGAAGGUACAGUAUGAAUAAGCACCGGCUAACUCCGUG